UGAGGAAUAUUGGUCAAUGGGCGAGAGCCUGAACCAGCCAAGUCGCGUGAAGGAAGACUGCCCGCAAGGGUUGUAAACUUCUUUUGUAUGGGAUUUAAGUCGUCUACGUGUAGACGUUUGCAGUUACCGUACGAAUAAGCAUCGGCUAACUCCGUGCCAGCAGCCGCGGUAAUACGGAGGAUGCGAGCGUUAUCCGGAAUUAUUGGGUUUAAAGGGUGCGUAGGUUGCAAGGGAAGUCAGGGGUGAAAAGCUAUAGCUCAACUAUGGUCUUGCCUUUGAAACUCUCUAGCUAGAGUGUACUGGAGGUACGUGGAACGUGUGGUGUAGCGGUGAAAUGCAUAGAUAUCACACAGAACUCCGAUUGCGCAGGCAGCGUACUACAUUACAACUGACACUGAAGCACGAAAGCGUGGGUAUCAAACAGG
This 425-nucleotide ribosomal RNA is filed under the name Verrucomicrobiota bacterium. RNAcentral's name for it is "Verrucomicrobia bacterium partial 16S ribosomal RNA". It matches the Rfam family "Bacterial small subunit ribosomal RNA", at positions 355 to 776 of the family's 1533-position model. The record is from RNAcentral. Lineage: Bacteria; Pseudomonadati; Verrucomicrobiota.